This 345-nucleotide long non-coding RNA is filed under the name Homo sapiens (human). RNAcentral describes it as "non-protein coding lnc-SLC2A14-1:1". Lineage: Eukaryota; Metazoa; Chordata; Mammalia; Primates; Hominidae. The record is from RNAcentral.
AACCUUCCAAUGUGGAGCAACCAGACCUGGAACAAUUCAACCUGGAGCAACGAGACCCAGAACAUCCAGUCCUGGAGCAACCACUCCUGGAACACUCAGACCUGGUGCACCCAAUCCUGGAACAAUCAGGCCUGGAACAGUCCCUUCUAUAACUGUGGAGAGGAAUCUCUGCAGUCCUGCAUGCAGUUCCAGCCAAAUUCUCCUGCCAGUGACUUGGAGGCUGCCUUGGAAGCUGCUGGGGAAGGCCUUAAUGUAAUACAGCAGACCACUAGGUAUUUUAGUACUCCACAAACCAUGGAUUUAUUCCUAAACUACUCCAUGAACAUGCAACCUGAAGACGUGUGA